GACGAACGCUGGCGGCGUGCCUAAUACAUGCAAGUAGAACGCUGAAGGAGGAGCUUGCUUCUCCGGAUGAGUUGCGAACGGGUGAGUAACGCGUAGGUAACCUGCCUGGUAGCGGGGGAUAACUAUUGGAAACGAUAGCUAAUACCGCACAACAGUAGAUAUCGCAUGAUAUCUGCUUGAAAGGUGCAAUUGCAUCACUACCAGAUGGACCUGCGUUGUAUUAGCUAGUUGGUGAGGUAACGGCUCACCAAGGCGACGAUACAUAGCCGACCUGAGAGGGUGAUCGGCCACACUGGGACUGAGACACGGCCCAGACUCCUACGGGAGGCAGCAGGAGGGAAUCUUCGGCAAUGGACGGAAGUCUGACCGAGCAACGCCGCGUGAGUGAAGAAGGUUUUCGGAUCGUAAAGCUCUGUUGUAAGAGAAGAACGAGUGUGAGAGUGGAAAGUUCACACUGUGACGGUAUCUUACCAGAAAGGGACGGCUAACUACGUG
This 495-nucleotide ribosomal RNA is filed under the name uncultured bacterium. RNAcentral's name for it is "partial 16S ribosomal RNA". It matches the Rfam family "Bacterial small subunit ribosomal RNA", at positions 28 to 507 of the family's 1533-position model. The record is from RNAcentral.